This 1074-nucleotide ribosomal RNA is filed under the name Enterococcus durans. Its description in RNAcentral is "bacterial SSU rRNA". It matches the Rfam family "Bacterial small subunit ribosomal RNA", at positions 181 to 1241 of the family's 1533-position model. Lineage: Bacteria; Bacillati; Bacillota; Bacilli; Lactobacillales; Enterococcaceae. The record is from RNAcentral.
CGAAACCGCAUGGUUUUGAUUUGAAAGGCGCUUUCGGGUGUCGCUGAUGGAUGGACCCGCGGUGCAUUAGCUAGUUGGUGAGGUAACGGCUCACCAAGGCCACGAUGCAUAGCCGACCUGAGAGGGUGAUCGGCCACAUUGGGACUGAGACACGGCCCAAACUCCUACGGGAGGCAGCAGUAGGGAAUCUUCGGCAAUGGACGAAAGUCUGACCGAGCAACGCCGCGUGAGUGAAGAAGGUUUUCGGAUCGUAAAACUCUGUUGUUAGAGAAGAACAAGGAUGAGAGUAACUGUUCAUCCCUUGACGGUAUCUAACCAGAAAGCCACGGCUAACUACGUGCCAGCAGCCGCGGUAAUACGUAGGUGGCAAGCGUUGUCCGGAUUUAUUGGGCGUAAAGCGAGCGCAGGCGGUUUCUUAAGUCUGAUGUGAAAGCCCCCGGCUCAACCGGGGAGGGUCAUUGGAAACUGGGAGACUUGAGUGCAGAAGAGGAGAGUGGAAUUCCAUGUGUAGCGGUGAAAUGCGUAGAUAUAUGGAGGAACACCAGUGGCGAAGGCGGCUCUCUGGUCUGUAACUGACGCUGAGGCUUGAAAGCGUGGGGAGCAAACAGGAUUAGAUACCCUGGUAGUCCACGCCGUAAACGAUGAGUGCUAAGUGUUGGAGGGUUUCCGCCCUUCAGUGCUGCAGCUAACGCAUUAAGCACUCCGCCUGGGGGAGUACGACCGCAAGGUUGAAACUCAAAGGAAUUGACGGGGGCCCGCACAAGCGGUGGAGCAUGUGGUUUAAUUCGAAGCAACGCGAAGAACCUUACCAGGUCUUGACAUCCUUUGACCACUCUAGAGAUAGAGCUUCCCCUUCGGGGGCAAAGUGACAGGUGGUGCAUGGUUGUCGUCAGCUCGUGUCGUGAGAUGUUGGGUUAAGUCCCGCAACGAGCGCAACCCUUAUUGUUAGUUGCCAUCAUUCAGUUGGGCACUCUAGCAAGACUGCCGGUGACAAACCGGAGGAAGGUGGGGAUGACGUCAAAUCAUCAUGCCCCUUAUGACCUGGGCUACACACGUGCUACAAUGGGAAGUACA